Molecule: long non-coding RNA, 279 nt
Organism: Acomys russatus (golden spiny mouse)
Lineage: Eukaryota; Metazoa; Chordata; Mammalia; Rodentia; Muridae
Exons: 3
Source: RefSeq, a predicted model, not a curated record
ACUACAAGCUGAUAGCUCUGGUUUGUGAUCUUUUUCCUUCCGGCAUGGAAGCAUUCACAGGUACCGUCAAGGCUGAACUGUGUCAUUGCCCACCCCCUCGCCCAAGUUCAUGUUGAAUCUUAAUCUUCAGGACCUAAAAAGGUAAAAAUUAAGGAUCAAAGGGCUAAACACCUAAAGGAAUGCCAAAGACCCCAGGGCUAAUCAGGAGCAGGGGCUCCUCAUUCUGCAGAACUGGCUUUGAUGAAAGCUCCCAAUAUUGGAUGACUUCUGCAAAGACAC